GGUAGCGUGGCUGAGCGGUCUAAGGCACUGGAUUAAGGCUCCAAUCUCUUUGGCGGCAUGGCUUCGAAUCCCACCACUGCCA
RNAcentral lists this transfer RNA (82 nucleotides) under Chelonia mydas (Green sea turtle). It matches the Rfam family "tRNA". From Rfam's summary of the family: Transfer RNA (tRNA) molecules are approximately 80 nucleotides in length. Their secondary structure includes four short double-helical elements and three loops (D, anti-codon, and T loops). The record is from Rfam by way of RNAcentral. Lineage: Eukaryota; Metazoa; Chordata; Testudines; Cheloniidae.